Bicyclus anynana (squinting bush brown) is the source of this 21354-nucleotide long non-coding RNA. RefSeq lists it as uncharacterized. The transcript has 2 exons. NCBI's taxonomy places the organism in Eukaryota, Metazoa, Arthropoda, Insecta, Lepidoptera, Nymphalidae. The record is from RefSeq and is a predicted model, not a curated record.
UGCAUAUUUUAUUAAAUAUUAUAAAUUUACUAUUUUUGGAAAGCAACAGCCGAUUUUUUUAUGACAAGAAGUUGGACAACUAUGACCCUGUGGUCUAUCUUUUGUUGUAUAGUAUAUAUACUAUAGAUACUUUGUUAUUAUUUUGACGUCUAUGCAAAAUUCCAUGCUAAACGUUAACAAAAAAGCAUACAAUCGCAAUUAUAAUGUUUAGGAUAGUACACAGUAUUUUAUUAAUAAUUGUAGUUACUUAACCAUAAAAACUAUUUAUUAAAAGUCGUCAUCAACCCAUAUUCGGCUCACUGCUGAGCUCGAGUCUCCUCUCAGAAUGAGAGGGGUUAGGCCAAUAGUCCACCACGCUGGCCCAAUGCGGAUUGGCAGACUUCACACACGCAGAGAAUGAAGAUAAUUCUCUGGUAUGCAGGUUUCCUCACGAUGUUUUCCUUUACCGAUUGAGACACGUGAUAUUUAAUUUCUUAAAAUGCACACAACUGAAAAGUUGGAGGUGCAUGCCCCGAACCGGAUUCGAACCCACACCCUCCGGAAUCGGAGGCAGAGGUCAUAUCCACUGGGCUAUCACUGCUCUUAAAAAAGCACAGCAAAGUUUAUUAAAAGUACAGCUACAUAUAAUACAGUUUCACGAGUAAGUCACCCGUGCCCAGGCAAUAUCAUAAAGUAAUAAUUGAAACGAAGUUCAAACGGUAUUUGUGAUUAAGUUUUGAUAAAGUGAUUGAUCGCCGGGAUAAACUGUAAAGUGAAAGUCAAUCCGUUUCGAUAAGAGAAUUUGAUUACAUCUCCUUGACCUUUAAUAACCUUUUUGUAAUAUUGUAAUACCUACUCCGAAUGUACCUUUUCAAUGAACCGCAGGCAACGAAACGGUUCAGAAUCUGGAACUUUAUUUGAAAAAGAAAUUAAUCGUAUUACUCUUUUCAAUGAAUUGAUAAAUGUUGAAAUUAUUAAUGAUAGCUUCGCUAUUAGCUGUCACAUAUAACUUGUUGUGGUUUCAUAAUAUGAAAGCCUAUAAUAUGUAUAAUGUAUGUAUGUACAAGUAUCGUUAAUAUGACGGCUUCAUAAAAAUUAAUAGAGUAAUUGUAAAUAUAUUGAUUGUGCUAUAAAAUAUAUAUGUGCUAUGAAAUUUAGCACACCGAUUUUGCUUAAAAGUCAACACGACUAUAUAAAAUACAUUGAAUUGACUAUAAUGAAUAAAAGUUGCGUCCCAAAGUAAAUAAAAUUGAUCUUAUUAAAUUUAUUACUGCUGAGAUCCAAAUGCAGUACAAUAACUCGUACCUAAAUGCAAUGUUUUACCCAUUAUACUAAUUUCUUUGUCCAACACAGCCGGUCGAAUACACCCCUAACCCUUUAUCGCCAUACGGUGUCUUCAAUACCGACUUUCACAUCCUUCCUGUUCAAAAUGUAUUCAUAACGCGACAAAAAACCUAAUGCGUAUCAUUUGACGGUUUUUUAGACAAUAGGCCGGUGUCUUUUGUGGGGUUAAAAGGAUUUUUUCAAAGGUCGAAAUUGGGUCGGAAGAUGCAACCGAUACUUUGCUUUUAGGGUCUCAGACCUUUAAUUUACUUUCUCUUUUUCACUCUGUUGUCGGGUGUUUCGAUUUGUAUCUGUUACUUCAUAAAUUUCUAACAUCGACUGUCAAAUGAAAUAUGUGAUUUUACUUAAUUGAGAACUUGUCAUAAUAAUAUUUUUAUUACGAAUAAAAGAAUUUAAUACGACAGCUUAACAUAAAGGCCAUUUGUAAAUCAAAACCAGAACAUAAAACCAGUCAUGUGUGGCAGCCAAAAUUUAUAAUGAUCUUUUUAGGAAUAUUAUUAAUUAAACCGACUAUAUAUCUGCUCAUCAUAAAUUCAAGUUUUUGUUUUAUAAAUUCUCCAAUAAACAUAAUAAAAUAAUAUUUUUUUUAAACUUGUCUAAAGUUGCCAAUAUAAUAUGUACUAUCAUUUGCUCUGAGUUGUCUUUAGAAUGAACUAAUUACUUUUUUAUAUUACUAGUUUAAAUAACGUCAGAAAAAUAGGAGUCAGAAAUCAAAAGAAGUUUAUAAAACAACAUUAUACAAUGCUAUUCUAAAGCGACUGCUUUAAAAUUCAAAUACUCUAGUAGAUACAUUAUAUUAUGACACAAAUAUCUUGUGGUACAAUGUACAAGCAUACAAUGUAUGAAAAAUACCAAUGUUUGCGGUAUAGCCUGUACAGAUUUAGAAACAAAGUAAACAUUUGAAACCUAAGUAUUCAUUUAAAAUUCCUUUACCUAUUAGUUAUAACGAUCUUGGUGUUAUUCAACGGCAAAAACGGCCACGAAGAGUCAUUAGCCAUAUAAGGGAUAAGAUAAGCGGAUUUUGAAUAACUACGAAACCGCACCGUUGCCCAACCGCGCUCGUUACUCAAGCUACAUUCACUUUCAAAGAGACUUCUUACAAACCACCAUCACAGUGCACCAUUGUUACCCGGUCCCUUAUCUCGGAACAAUAACGAGCUACCGUGCAAGAAUCAGAGAUACACCGUAUAAAGCAUCCCAUUGUAAAUAUUAUAAAUAUUAUGCUAAUGCGAUAAAAGGAAAUUUUUGACUCCGGAUCUAAACGACCAGGUGUUUCGUUGAAAGGGUUAAGCGAGAUUCAAAUGUCUUCCGACCCUAUUUUGAAUGUGAUCAUUUAUUAAGAUUUGGGUGUAUUGUUUAGUUUCUUAUUCCCAUAGUUGUGCGCGCACGGUUAAUAAUUUAUGUGGGAACAAUGCGAGUGAUAUAUUUUUUUAAUAUUGUAAUGCGUUCACGGGCUAUGGGUUAGAAUGGAGCCUCGGCUGAUCGUAAAUUUGUAUUCUCUAUGGUGAUUUCGUUGCGAGCUGUUAACUGACGUUUCGUGUAUACUUUGCUGAUAUUUGCUGACAGCCGUUGCUAAUAGCCUAUGGUGCUGAGUAACUUACCAAGAUUGCAGGUAAGUAUUUUAACUCAACUUAAUUCAGUAAUGUUUAAUUAUAACCAGUGGACCCAAUCAAGCUUUGCUUUGACAGUUACGCAAGCAACCAAACGCUAAAAAGCUGAAAGCUAUCGGCGACAAGGUUUUUGAACAAGAAGAAAUUGGAAGCUAUUUUGCCGUGCGUGAUGCGUCAAAUAUUCUUAUUUUUCUCGGUCAUUACUUUGAUGUUAAAUAUAAGUCAAAUAUUACAAAAUCAAGGCUCAAAUUAAAGCAUUUAAAUACUAUGCCCUAGAUUUUUGUUUCACAUGAUUUUUAAAGAAAUUUUUUAACAGAAAUUUAAGUAAAAAAGUAAGUUGCACAGUCCUCAAUACGUCUGUCUCUUUAAUGUCACAAUUAAAGCCACCCGUCCGCUGCAAUGAAGCCACUACGCAGUGUAACAAGUCAUUACUAAUUGAGGACAUCUGUCAUUAAAUAUAUUUCUUUAUAGAGCGAGGGUCAGUGGCAGCCAGACAUACUGCAUUUUAUUAAUGUAGAGUUUGUCAGGCCUUCCUUUUAGACCCCCUGGUGAAGCCGCUGAGGUCCCAUUAAGGAGCCUACGGCAUUUACACAAUUAGAAAGAGAAACAUUAUUUUAUCAUAAAAAAGUAUGGUAUGGUAGAAGCAUAGGUUGAAGUUUGUCCCUUCAAUCCCUUCGCUAGAUCUGUUUCCCGAAGGGUGAUCUAAUUUAUCAUAUUAUGCCGUGGUUAAAAGAUUGCUUUAUACUUGGACGGUUGAGGAUCUGAAUCCUUGGUACCAGCUACCUUCCAGAGCCGCAUCAGUCGAAACUUCAUAAUUGGGUAGUUCACUCAUAUGAAAUUUAAUAUAAACAACAUUAUUUUCGUGUACAAGGAAUAUGGGUCGAAAUAUAUCGAUAUCAAUAAAUAAAAGUUAAAGAUUUCUUAUAGGUAAAGCUUAAUAUAAAUAUCACGUAUUUUUUCCAAAUGUUCCGAACAUUAAAAACGCUGUCGUCCAUUUUGUGACGUCACUAACAGACUUGAUUUACUAAACGUCGAACUAAUUGUUAACUGAUAUUUUUGUCAAACGUUACGUUUGCAAGGAAUUUGUUAAAGUGGCGUCUUGAAACAGUUGAAAUAUAGACCGUCGUGGCCGACAGGCGUUUUAGCUCGUAUUUUCCAAAAACAUAUUUAAAAACUAAAAAUUUCACGUCUCAAAAAAAAUAUGAUUUUUUUUUCAAUCUAGAAAUUAGAACGAUUAAUGAACUAUUUAAGAACAUUUAAAAAAUUGUCAACUACCCUAUUGAUUAACGUACCUGCGUAUGGUAGAAGCAUGGACUGACAAAUCAACUUUCAUAUAACCGAGGUAUGUAUGACCACGGCAGGCCCUUAUUCUUACAAAGGAACACUAACAGAAACGUUCGGCCUACCGAUUUGGUAAGUGGCGUUAUUUUCCGCACAUCGGUAUCGGGCCUAAUUGCGUCAUUAUUGUCGGGAAAAAAAUAUUAUUGCACUCGCAAAAGCAACGGUAUGUACAAUUUUCUACCUUUGUAGUUUUGUAUCGUGCUGUCAGCAGUGUUGCCAGUUGUUAACAUGCGCAUGUCCCGAAUUUUUUUCACUUUUGUGUCAUGUCCCGUUUUACCAGUGAUUGGUUGAAUGUUCUGAUUUACCUUCAGUAUUGUGCAGUUAGUAGUGUUGCCAGUUAUCAACGUACGCAAAAUAAAUGUUCCCAGUUCGGAAAAAACAGCGCAAUCGUACUGAAUUUUGAAUGGAAUUCGUUUUUAUUCUGGAUUAACACAUAGACUACUAUGCCACGCGGAAGAAGAUGCGGGCGUCCGCUAGCUUAUGCGUUUUUUUUUUAGGUUUUUCUUUGUAUUGAGUAUUUCUUUCUUCUCAGUUAAGAUUUUACCCGGAGAUGGAAAUUAGUGGUGUCACAACCUGUGCACCUUAAGCCGUCGAUCCCGGUCAUUAUCAUUAAAAUCUUAUAGAGAUUAUUAAUGAAUCAUUAUCGCCGCAUUAACAUCAGUGAUCAUUAUCACCGCCAACCCACAAUGGACAAGCGUGGUGCGUGUUAGCUCUAUAUCCUCUCUUCUACAAAGAGAGCUUAAAAUAGGCUGAUAAUUAUGAAUUACCUUUUAUUUUAAAUUUUAAAGUUAUUAUUAAAACUUUGUGUAAAAGGUAAAGUUUUUACAUCGAUGGGUUGUCGGUAGUUUACAAAACUCAAGUUCAUGAUUUGUUUACAGUGAACGUUCGAAAUUCAAAUGUUGAUCGUAUAAGUAAAAUAUAACUAUAACACACAUUGUAAACAUACAAAAAAUAAUAAUCACCACACGCGUUACUUAAACAAGUGUUAACCCGGCAAGAAUUUCGACUUUAAAAUGAUCUUUUUUAUCACUUUACCUAGGUACUAUUAAAUUAUUAUUUUGUGGUAUUAAUAAGUCUGAAGCUUGGGUUAGGUAUAAUUUAAAACACUAUUUGUACGUUUUUAUUGCAUUGAUACUGAGGAUCUGAAAAUAUACCUAUUUGGAUUCAAUCGAAAGUCAGGUCUAAUUUAGCUUCCAAUAAAUAUAGACACUAAAUAAAAGUUUCUAAAAAAAGAAUAUUAUUCCAAUCACAUGUAAUUCAUUCAAUUAAUGCAUUUACACACACUUACGCAACGUAAAAGUUUCGAAAUUCGAAUUAUCGAACUUUCCGUUUUCAAAUUGAUAGAUAGCAUUUGAAUUGGAAACGUCCGCGGCAAUUAGAGGGCUAUAAUUUAAAUUUUAGUACACUUUCACGUACGGCAACAAGUAAUAACAAGCAAGACGUACCUACGUAUGUACGUACACAGAUGGCCGCGGGCCACAGCUGUUUCUUCACUAUUCUUAUGCAAAACAACCGUCAUUGUGUUACUAAACCUGUGUAGUAAUAAGCGUAGCUGCCUAGUGUUAUUUGUACCCAUUGACAGCUAUAGGGCUGUUCCAUUUUUGAAUUUUUAAAAUCUUUCGAACACUGCCUCGUUGGGUUUUUUAAAUUCUUUACAAGUUACUACAAUGUCAACUGAUUUUAAGUGAUGAUGCAGUCUAAGACUGAAGCUGGUUAACUUGUUAGGAGGAGUAUGAAAAUCCACACACCUUUUCGGUUUCUACACGACAUCGUACCGGAACGCUAAAUCGCGGUACGUCUUAAGCGGUGAUAAUUAUCCACGACCGAAGCCUCCCACCAGCCAGACCUGGACCAAUAAGAAAAUCUCAAUCGGCCCAGCCGGGGAUGAAGGCCGAACCCAGAACUACCGUUUUGAGAAUCCACCGUCGUUGUAGUUUGGUGCAAAUUCAAUUUGUAAGAAAUAUUUCUUGUUUCAAAAGAAUAUUUUAUCGAACAAAAUUUUUUUUUUUUAAUCCUAAGUUAUUUAUAGAAUAAGUCUCUGCUGCUCUAUGAUUUAAACGUUCUUUUUUUAUAAUUGGUGAUAAUUUAUUUAAAUUUUUUUCAUGUUUUUGUUUUAAUAGGUUAGAUAAUUGUUUGGAGCAAUCAACAUUAAUUGUUUAAUAGUUUCAACAAUUCUUAAGUGUAAAUAUUUCCAAAUUAGUGACAAAAUAUCUAUGCAUUACUACUCAUAUUAAAAAUAUUAUUAUGUAGGUGAAGUAAUGAGUAAUAAUAAGUCGUUAAAUAUUUAACAGCACUUUUGAUGAGUUUAUGAAUCUGUAUAUUUUUUUUAUAGAAAUAGUGCCAUAUUAAAAAAUAUUAUUUAAUCAUUACAAUAUGACCUUACUGUCUAAUUAAGGGCACUCUGUUGUAUUUAUUUACAUAAAAUCCAUCAUAGGUAUUAUUAAUUUAAUAAUUUACUUGCGCGUGCGUCAAACAAGCGUCAAACAAAUUAAUAACUUAAAUUAAUUUUAAUUAAGUACUCACGUCGUUUUUCCCAUUACAAGUUACUUUUUAAAGUAUUUAAUAUUUAUACGUAUAUGAAGUAAACUAAUUUGUAAAAAAAACUUUUACUCAAGUUAAGUUACUUGUAAGUAUUAGCACACAUGUCUCCACAUUAAAAUACAAUUUAAUUUAUUUGCUUCCUCAAUAAAAGUUUAUAUGUGAUAAUUAAAGUGAAUGUGUGGCCACACGCGGCGACAUUGGCCCUUUACUGUCUAGGGCCCUGGGCACACAAUUCGGGGCCCUAUUAGAAAGUUCCAACUUUUUUAUUUUUUCGGCCCUUAUCAUAGUAUGAAACAUUUGACAUGGUUUUCUAUGCAAGGGCCCUUGGGCUAACUAUUUGGGGCCCUAUAAAAAGUUAUUUUUACAUUUUCGGUCCUUUAUUUUUACAGUUUAUAAUUGACAUACGUACUUACAUCUAACCAGUGUCAUCUUGGCUAUGCAUCGGCCCUUGGGCUCACAAUUUGGGGCCCUUGAGAAAGUAAACUUUAAUUCAUAUAUUUGACCAUUUAGGUAGGUACAUAGGUAGUCACAGUAGAAUUGACAACAAACUAGAGCCUUUAAAAUCAUGCAGAGGUCAUUGAACAUAUGGGGCCCUAUAAGUAAAUAAACUUGUAUUAUGUUAUUGAUUAGAGUAGGUACAUUUGUCAUGAAUCACUAGGGCUUUAAUUAUUUAUUCAGCCCUGAACAAAAUACUACGUAAACUUAGAUUUUAUUAUGUAAGUUAUUACUCAACCUAAUUAUAACAUACCUUCGUGAUAUGUCAUGUAUGUAAUUCUAAAUCAAACGUUUCAUAUUGUACAAUGCGUGACAAAGUGUAUACAAUUGUAUAAAUAAAUUUUUUUUUUUUCUAAAUUAUUGCGUCGCGGUUUCCAUCCAAUCCGAGCAAUUAUAUCCAGAUAAUUGCAGCUAAAGAAUUUAUCUAAUCGCCACGCGGUCCUUAUAUGAUGGGUAGUAUUUUAUAAGGUAUUUCGUUAUUAACAUAUUAAGGAGUUACAAGAAACUCUUCGAUGAUCGUUGUACUUAUUUCCAAGACAUCAAGUAACGUUCUAGUAAAUAAUUACGUAAAAAUAUCUAACUCUAAUAAUAUCAAACGAUUCGAUCAUUAAUUUAAAAUUCCGUUCGAUUUUUGAAUUUUACUCAAAGCAAUACCAACAAUUAUAGGUUCAAUAUUCGAACAUAGCGAAUGAAUUAUGGAUUGUUUGAAUUCAUUUACUAAAUGAAUUGUAUGGAUUUACAACGUUCGAAUUUUAAAAUUAAAUGAAUUCGACAUGGAGUUUUAAAUUGAAUGUGUUAUUGAUUUAUAUUUUUGGUAUAAACAUUCUUAGCUCCAUGUAGAAUUGUACUUUAUUGAGUUUUGUUUCUGUAUUUAUUUUUAUUUUAUGUACAUUUGUCUUGAUACUAAUAUAUAAAGACCUAUGUAGUCUCAUAAGUACAUAAAUUAUUAUUUCAUUGUGAAUGACUUAUUAUCAAGUAAUUUAUUUAUGUUCUCAAGCUCAGAGGCCCUCGAAAUCUCACCAGAAAAUGUCAAUAUAACUAUGACUUGAACUGUGCACAAAAAGAGCUGAUGAUAAAGUAGCUUAGCAUUUUUGUAGUAUAUUUUGUAUAAUUAUACGUGAUAAAACCUCACUACUUAAGAUAAUAGUGGGUCCCAUUUUUUAUUUGCACCAGGGCCCUUGGUUACCUAGCUACGCCACUGAUUCUACGCAUAAAAAUGUGAAGAAAACAGCUCUAUAAUAAACAAGGCACUUUUUGCGGCAAGCUUGAAUGCAUACAAAACGACGUAAACUCGAUGAACGAAUAUUAAUAUCGAUGAAAGCAAAGGCCCAUACAGCCCCGCUCAUUCCUAUGGGAAUGAAGUCGUAAUGCCAUUUGCAAUUGUGUGGAAAUAAAUAAAUACGCGGCGGCAGUCACGCCACCCCGUUCGAUCCAUCACGGCGCGGGCGUGUCGGGGAAUGACGUCGACGUGGACUAAUCGCUCCCCCACUGAUAAAUGCGACGCCAUCUUGGAUUUUCUCUUUUUAUUUUAUUUUUUUUCACAUUCGCUGCGCAAACGCAACCCGCCUGUGCUAAUUAAGUUGCCUUGUUUGGUUUGAAUGAUCGCAUGCAGGAGCUAUAUAGAGCGAUCUUUGUGUUUGCAUGUUUAAAUAUUUGCAUCGCAAUGAUAACGAUUGUGUUCGACAGCAUGGACUUAUAGAAUAGGCAGACGGUAUCUCGCUGUCAAGCAAUUGAAGCACCCUAAUGGUCGGGAGUCUCUCUGAAGGAUAAAAUUUAUUGACGGAAAUUAUUAAUUGACGUAGCACAAAGGAUUAGCAAACUGAACUGGCAGUGAGCGGGCCAUAUCUGUCGCAGAACAGAUGGGCCGUUGGGGUAGAGGUGUUCUGGGAACCCACUUAGUAAGCGCAGUGUAGGACACUCUCUAGCUAGAUGGUCCGACGACAUCUAGAAGGUAUUGGGAAGUGGCUGGAUGAGGAAGGCGGAGGAUAUUGUGUGGUGCGCUCUAGAAAAGGCCUAUGUCCAGCAGUGGACUGUACAGGCUGAUGAUGAAUGGCGCCGAGUAUCUAUGUGUGAAGUGUAUUACUGUACGUCAGCUGUUUUUGAUGAGUACUGUUUACCAACAAAUAAAUUAGGAAUGAAGGUAGAAACGCAUGUCAUUUCAUAACUUAUUUAUUUUAAAUUAUGUAUGGCUUGUUUAUAAAAUGAUAUAUAAAAUACAUUAACCAUAUAUAAUUCUAAGCUAACUAAUCAAAUUUAUUUUCAUUAAUUUAAGAACAAUUUAAUUAUAAUUUUUAUUAGAUGUGAAAUGACUAGUGAUUUAUACCCUCAUUUUUAAUUUGUUUGUUAGUAAACAGUAUUCAUCAAGAAAUAUGUAGGAAAUUAAUGGCGUUCUGUCUUCAAAAUGUGCAUCUGUGUGCGUAAUUGGGGUGCGUCUCUCUUUAGUUUUAGAGAUGGUAUCUGGACACUUUAUUACGUCUAUGUUCGACAGAUUUAAAAUUGUCUUUAUCGCACCGUCACGUGUACUUACAUCCUUAUCUCGAACACUUCAAUGGAUUGCUGACACGUGUAUUGUGAAAAUUUUCUCAAUGUCAGCGAAAUUUUAUUAUCGCUUGUUUUCUUUUACGUAACAUUUUGUGAGUGAAAACUUGACUUUUAGUUACACUUAUCUUUUUUUAUUACCUACUUAGAUAGAUAACAUGUUUCCUGUUAUUUGAACAUUUUACACAAAUAAAUAGACUAACACAAACAAACAUACAGAAAAGACACAAAAUUACGCUUUGGCUUUCUUACGAUUUUAUCAUUAAAACUUCUAAAUAUCCUAACCAGGACAGUAGCGCUACUGUGGCGAUCUUAUUACAACUCGACAGAGAAUUGAAUUAGGGACUGUCUUGAAUUUGAAUCACACUUAGUUAUAUAAACAUCAAACAACUAUGGGACAUAAAUACUCUUCUUGUUUUUAAAUCACAUCAUUCGCGGUACUUACGAAUAUAAAAUAAUUUAAAAGUAAGUAAAUAAGCAAGUAAGUAAAAAAAAAUAAUUUUCGUUGUUGUAAAAUAUUAAAUGGUUUUAUAGUAAACAAAUGCAUUUAAACUUAUAGCACUUUUGAACUAAACUCGUUCUGUCUAGAACAGAAAAUAUAAUUCAAGAUCAUAGACAAGACCAUAGAUUGAUCUACGCAUAGUGUAAAUGUGAUUAAGAUCUUUGUUUGAGUAUUUAGCCUCUAUCUAUUCAUAUUGAAUUAAACCGGUCGUAGCGGGUACCUACUGGUUGACUCACAUUGCACCAAUACCCUUAGUGCGAAUAUCCAUUACGAAUAGUCGUUUUCGAAUUUCGAAUAACGAAACCUUCUCUACGCAUAGUGUAAAUGUGAUUAAGAUCUUUCUUUAAGUGUUUAGCCUCUACAGUGCUAUUCAUAUUGAAUUAAACCGGUCCUACAGGGUACUGGUUGACUCACGUUGUACCAAUACCCUUAGUGCGAAUAUCCAUUGCGAAUCGUCGUUUUCGAAUUACGAACCCCGAAACCUUCUCUACGCAUAGUGUAAAUGUGAUUAAAAUCUUUGUUUAAGUAUUUAGCCUCUACAGUGAUAUUCAUAUUGAAUUAAACCGGUCCUACAGGGUACUGGUUGACUCAUAUUGUACCAAUACCCUUAGUGCGAAUAUCCAUUGCGAAUAGUCGUUUUCGAAUUUCGAAUAACGAAACCUUCUCUACGCAUAGUGUAAAUGUGAAUAAAAUCUUUGUUUAAGUAUUUAGCCUCUACAGUGCUAUUCAUAUUGAAUUAAAUCGGUCCUACAGGGUUGACUCACGUUGUACCAAUACCCUUAGUGCGAAUAUCCAUUGCGAAUCGUCGUUUUCGAAUUUAGAACCCCGAAACCUUCUAUACGCAUAGUGUAAAUGAGAUUAAGAUCUUUCUUUAAGUAUUUAGCCUCUACAGUGCUAUUAAUAUUGAAUUAAACCGGUCCUACAGGGUACUGGUUGACUCACGUUGUACCAAUACCCUUAGUGCGAAUAUCCAUUGUGAAUAGUCGUUUUCGAAUUUCGAACAUCGAAAACUUCUCUUCACAUAUGAUUAAGAUCUUUGUUUCGUAGGUAUUGAAAAAACGUGUUGUCGUAUCUAUUGGUUACUUACGUUGUAAGUAUCUUUGGUGUGAGAAGUUCACGAUUAAAAACAGUCGUUUUCGAAUUUGGAACACCGAAACCACUACCUGUGUACUUAAAUCUGGUUAUUGUUUCACCUUUAGUGUGAGAUUUCCAUUCGAAUAUCGAAAUUAAUAGACUGAAAGAGAGCCUCGCCCUGUACAAUCCCAACCCAUUAAAAAUAUAACGAGAACUCGAAAACGGUAUAGAGUGAAAAUCUCGUACUAAGACAGGAGAGUAGUUUGUACCGCGUUACGCAACGAGCUCAUGAAUAAGGACGACGGAUGAGUUUUAAUCUGACCAAAUCGAUGAUUAUAACCGGUUAAAUUUAUAUUAGAUAAAUGUUAGUCUCAAUUAAGUGCUACUUACUACUUAUAUAAUUUUCACUUAUUCAUACUAUAACGGUUAAAAAAAAUUUAGUGAAAAUAAACAAGAUCACUAAAAAGGAAUUUAUCUGUAUGUUUACGUAUUUCCGCGACUUUCUGAAAAUUACGAAUUCAUUUAGUAUGGGGUUUUGUAUAUGUAUAUAAAUGCAUAUUUUUCAGGGAAAAUUUUAGUACGAGUAAGUAGCUAGGUAUACUAUUUUGUGAUCGGAUUCUUUCAAAGAUGUUAGAAGUUGUAAGAUUUAUAUAGCUGGUAAAAUAAUUAUAAAUAUGUUUAUAAAGCUAGUAAAAUUCUCUGGUAUGCAGGUUUCCUCACGAUGUUUACCUUCACCGUUUGAGACACGUGAUAUUUAUUUUCUUAAAAUGCACGUGCAUGCAAUGCAGUGAGAGCCGUGGUAGCCCAGUGGAUAUGAUCUCUGCCUGUGAUUGCGGAGGGUGUGGGUUCGAAUCCGGUACAGGGCAUGCACCUCCAACUUUUCAGUUGUGUGCAUUUUAAGAUGAACAAAAUAAGAAGCGAUAUUAAUUGGUGAUACCUUAUACAAAAAGUUAUGAAGGUACCUUCGUUUGUCGAAGGAGACAAAGCGAUGCCGCCACCUGAUACCCACAAGUCUCACACACCUCCCGUAUGUUUACGAGUAUGUACAGGUUUUAUCUGCCAAUCGUGGAAAAUAUUCGCGAAACCCGCUUUUUGGGAAGCCGACAAGACUACUUGCUUCAUUAUUUGAGAUUGGCAUCAGUUAGUACAGUUAUUUAACUUAGUAACAGUUUUUUUUACUUAGUUAAACAACAACAACAACUUAGUAACAAUUAAGUUAGUAAUUUUUCUCCAUUUCGUGGUAAAUUUGGAAAACCUUGCGAUUCCGGUGUUUUAUACUCGUUGACGAACUUUUCGCCUACAACACGUCUUAUUUGAACUUUAUGUUUAUAGGAAGCCAAAAUCAAAAUGUUACCAACAACGAAGUUGCCAUGGAAACGAACUCAUGUCACUCUCUACGUAGGUAAUGUUUACAGAAUCGCUACUUAUAGGUAGGUAGCCAUUUAGUAACAUAACAGAUAACUAGUUAAAAUUUUAUAGUUCUUAUGUUUUACUCCGUUCCGAGACACUUAUAAAACCUUCUUAUUAAUAAGUCGACUGCAGUAUUUGCUCUUUUUUACUUGACUAGUAUCACGGUGAUACUAGAUCAUUACAUACCUUCCAUUACAUCCAUUAUUUCCAUUACGGUGAUUCUAGAUCAAUACAUAUUUCAGAUCUGAAACUCUGCAAUUUGUUUUUGAAGUGUGUUCCAUACCACACAAAUGAAAUUUAAACUUCUUUAGCGCUCCCUCUCAACGUUCGUUACGUCCGAUUACAUUUUUCGUAACGCAUUCAUAGCUCACUAUAAGUCAAGCGUAAAGAAGUUUUAUACUUAAAACUCUUUAAAGCAUUAUAAGACAUCAGUUUCUUGUCAUAGUGCUAAAAGACACCAACAGUUUACAAUAUAGGAAAGUCAGAGUAUUGUAAUAGUCAACAUACUUACAAGUACUCGUAAUAAUACAGUUUGGUAACAACGGAAGCCAUUAAGGAGCUCGUGCUGUACGCAACACGUUACGCGUCUUGUACAUCGGAAAUUAAUUCACAAAUACCUCUCCGCCGUUAGGCUGACUUCCAUGUAAAGCGAUGCGAUGGGUAUUGUUUCAAACAGCAUUAAAAAGUAUUAAUAAGCUUACCUCUCCAGCUUUGACUGGCUUCCAUCUAAAGCGAUGCUAUUAUGACGAUAAUAAAUCAAAAAAAUCCUAAAAGUAUUAAUAUAAGCUGCCACAUACUGACCCCAACGUCCCCUUCUAGAAAAAAUUAACAGAGGAUAUUAUUUACGAUCUAAACGAUGACAUCGCUACAUACUUUCAGCCAAGACAAAUUUUUAGAUGGCAUCUCCGAUUAAGACAGGCUCCUAGAUAUACAACGUCAUUUUGACGGGAGUGUCAGGAAUGACCUUUGAUACAAUCCGCAAAUGCCAAUGCCUCUCUUAACCUAAGUCUCGUUAAAAGCUCUCUAAGCCUAGGUCCCAACAACAAACGAUUCCUCGCCUUCCAAUAUUCAAAUGUAAAGGAUUACUUUGUGACACAGUUUGUCUAAAUAAAUAUCGCCGUGAAGCAUUGCUGUGUGCCGAUCUCCAAGGUAUAUAUACUUGCAACGAAGUUAUAGAUGUACACAUUCUUCUCGUGAUUUUCUACUUCACAUCAGCAAGCCUAUUCACUAUUUUGGUAUUUAAUAACAACCUAUUAAAACAACCAUCAAAUCAAUUGACAAAAUAAAAACCAAGGUUGUCAUCAAAUCAAUUGACAAAAUGUAUACUAUAUACCUACUAUAAGAUAUCCACCAGUAGCCACCGGAUGACAUUUGUUACAUAGCAUCUUAAUUUCCUAAUAUGUCAACUAGCAUACGUCAAAGAUAGUGAAUUAGCCUGCAGGUGGAUUAUCUGAUUGUUUUAUUAUUAAUAAAUAUGAAAUAAAACAAAGCUUAUUAUAUCUCUCGUUACGCAUUUUCUAUGGAAUGCCACCCUAAUGUAAUGACGAGUCUUCGAUAAAACGUGCCACGAGGAAAAACCGAGAGUGUUGCAACAAACAAAUAACUUACAAAUAACUCGUGUAGGUAUAUGAUACCUACCUAAAUUACGUAUUCAAAUAUAUAUGCAGUCGCGAACGACUUUGGCAUGACCUUCAUAGUUCAAAUCGUAUCAACACAAACACUGAAUGGUCAUUUAAAUAAUAUUAGUCGAUUUUUUUUUUUUUUCGAUUUUUCAUAUAAGGUUCCCAAUCGACAUCGAAUUAAAUCGACUAAGGAAUUGACUAUUUUUUUUUAAUAAUAUUACUUAAUAAACCUAUGUAUAUUAUUGCGUUUCGGAAACGAAACAGACGAAUUAGAUAAAACUUUUAAGUGUAUUUAUUACGUGUAUUCUAUAUUCUUCUGUCAUGUAUAAAUAGCAAUACAUAGAAAUUGAUAUUACCUUGAAACGCAUAGAAUUACGAUCAUCAAAAACGAAAAAAAAAUGUGAAUAUACCCACCAUAUGACUCCGAAUAUGUUCAGUUUCUUUUUCCACCGUUCCAAAUUCAAAAUACUUAUUAAUAUCGAAUAACACAAUCCUUUCAAAAAUCGAACGGCUUUCUUUAUUUAACCCUUCUUAGCCGCAUGCGAUCAAAUUAACCGACCUCUCCUCAAUUUGAAAAGGGAAAGAAAUAGGUUAUAACCUAUUUUCGAGAGCGGCAAAAAAGGAUACCUGCACUUAACCUCCAGCAGAGUGGGCCUGUCAGACCAGAUAAGUGCUUAGGGCAGUGGUACACUGAGCUUUGAUAAGCUGUAUUUCUACGAUUUAAGCUGGUGGGAUUUGCGGGUUAGAUUGUAACUUACCAAGGUAGUUACAAUCUAACCCUUAAAAACGUAGCGUAACGUACAAUGCCUAGAAACUUAGUUUAGAAUGUGGGUAGUACAAUUGCUUACAAUUUACGCAAGUUUUGAACUGCAUCAUCGCCUUAUCAUCAGCCAUGAUCGAAGUCAAGUAACUUUUCCUUUUUAAUAUUUUUUGUACAACGAAAAUAGAACCUGGUCCACACCUACACUAAAACGUUUUCUGAAAAAUAUGAAUUUUAAAUAACUAAUUCCAUAUCCAUCAGAUCAUAAAUAUUUUUGAGAAAAUAGUGUACAUUACAAACAAGUGAUACAUUCAUAUCUAUUACAUUUAACAUCCUUUUUUGGAAUUAAAAAAAAAAUCAUCGUACUUUUGUUUUUAAAUGUGAAGUUGCAUUGAAUAAAAUCCUUGGUUUAUUUAGGGUCGAGUGUACCCACAGCUUCAUCCCACUCGUAUCUUCCACGAUUUCAAAGGAUCGUAUUAUUUACAUUUUUUUCCCUCAAAAUAUGGAACAAAAAAGGGUAAAGAAUAAAUUUGAGCGCUCACCAAAUGUCCCCGCGACAGGUUGGGUCGGGUAUUUUCGAAUUUAUGAACCGAACUUUUAUUUCCGACAGCCCGUGAUCGGAUACAUGUACGUAUGGUACGGAUUUUAAUCGAUUUCGGACGUUUUUUGCGCGUUAUAUUCGAAUAAGAGAACCGAUAAUAAACCGAUAUGCGAUCGUUACUUUGCAAAUAUUCAAAUGCAUUUAAAUGGUUUUGCAUUUUUUUUUUGGCUGGACUGCAAUUGUUUCGAGGUCUUUGAAUGUGAUUUUUUUCAAAUGUUUUUUUUUUGCAAUGAAAUAAGGUUUCAUUGCACAGAUGCCCAACUCGUGUCAGUGCGUUGUAUUUUUUUUACCGAUUACGGACUGUUCUUUGUAGUUUUAUUAUUUUGAAACUUUGUAUAUAUACGUAUGCAGUACCAAGAUGUUUAGUUGCAAUGAUAUCAUGAAUAAUAACAAUUAUAAAGCCAACGAAGAGUUCUCUCGACAAUUAUUUGUGACUGUUCGUUCUUGAAAGUAUUACCUCCAUCGUUACUUCUUUUCUAUAGAAGGUAAUAGACGGAAUAAGUAAGUUAAUUAAGUACUUAAUUAAGUAGUUAGCUAGCGAGUCACUAGUCACUACGAAGUACAAACAAACAAACCUGGCAUUUCAAAAGUAAUUGUAAAUUAAGUCUAUUUAAAAUAAAUGAAUUUUAAUUUUUUUUUUAAUUUAGUUCUCUGCUCUUCUGCUCUGUUAUAAAGAGUUCUACCACUACAAAACUUCUGCUGAAAGCAAUCCUUUUUUUUUAUUGUUUGCAAGUUAGCCCUUUAUUACAAUCGCACCUGAUGGUAAGUGACGAUGCAAUCUAAGAUGGAAGCGGGCUAAUUUGAUAGGAGGAGGAUAAAAGUCCACACCACCACUUUUCGGUUUCUACACGACAUCGUACCGGAACGCUAAAUCGCUUGGCGGUACGUCUUUGUCGGUAGGGUGGUAACUAACCAUGGUCAAAGCCUCCCACCAGCCAGACCUGGACCAAUUAAGAAAACCUUAAUCGGCCCAGCUUGGGAUCGAACCCAGGACCUCCGUCUUGUAAAUCCACCGCGCAUACCACUGCGCCACGGAGACCGUCAAAAAAAACUCCAUAUCAUAUUGCAACGGAAGAAGUGAUAGUAUAUUAGCUUUAUAUACAUCAUACAUAUGAGCAGUUAGCAACAUAUAUCAUAGCAAUAGUUGUCAAUUAGAUUAUUUCUUAUCACGCCUAAGUCUGAAUACUUCACACGAUCUCGGCUGAUCUAUUUUAAAUUACAGCGCCCAUAGUUUUAGUUGAUCGCACAUCAGGUCAAAGUAAUAAAACGUGACUGACGGAUAGCACGCACCGCACGCGCCGUUAAGAGAAAAAAAUAAUUGUAGUCUAGUCUUCUUUUAUAGGACAAAUGUGUCACGUAUAUCGUGAUUGAUUGAAAAAGACAAGUACAUACUAGUUUGUUGGUAGUAUCGCUUGUAUUAAUGUAGGUUUUUCAGUCACAAAGACGUGCAAAUGUCUGUUCAGUUACUUUUUAUGAAAAUAGAUACCUUUUAUGAAGAAAUAAUUAUUCAUUAAUAAAUUUCAAUUAUCGUUGUUUUCAAUGAAUAUGCUACGCAUUUAAAACAUCGAAUAGACGUAUUUAUUUUGCGGAAAUUCAUUCAUUAUGGGUAACGAUUAAGAUCUUCUAAAAUCAAUUCCUGAGAUUGUAAGGAAUAACUCAUUUAUUUUGUUACUCUCACAAAUUAAUAAAAUAAAUGAGUUAUUAAUUGGUUUCUAUGACCACAACAGCGAAUACAGCAUACUUUGUUGAAUACUAUAAAUGGGUGCGGCGCGUGCGUCUAGAAUACGCGACCAGCUUUAUACGCCAGCUAUUUGCUAUCUGCAAUUUCAUAGAAAUCUGUUUCUUAUGGCAUAAUUAUUUGAUGUCGUUUUUCUGUGAACCACCGAGCGAUGUUUCACAGAAGUUCGUGUGAAUGGAUCUACCUGCUACGACGAGAUAUGCGGACGGCUUUAUGCAGGAGAUGAGUUGUGACUCUUAUAAGUAAACGGUUCACUCAAUAGGCACAUACCCGUCAAAACUGACGAAUUCUACAGCAUGACAUAUAGUAAGGCAUUCAAAUGCUGAUAAUGAUGAUGACACAUCGCAGGGUACUUGUCUUAGAAAAAAAAUAAUAAAAAUUAAUUAUGAAAAUAAAAAAAGAAACAUCUUACAAUACUAAAUCUAGAAGUAAUUGCUGCGUCCUUCCGUAUUUUCUUCGAUAAUAACUUCUAAAUUAAUAUAUUAAUAAUCAAUAACUAAAUUCUGUUACGGUACGUACAUCUAAAAGAAAUUAAUAACAACUUUAUUUAAAUAAAUAAAAUGCAUACAGCCGUACAUAGACCCUUUCCUUUUUGAAAAUCACUUAUUUGUAGUUUGUGUAAAAAUUUAAAUAUCCUAUUAGGUGCAUGUUGCAUAACACCAUUCCUCAGCACCUGUUCCGUAGGGCCACUCUAGGCAAAAAAAACCUUUUGAACGUUUUUUGUAUUAAAAAACAAGUUUAAAAAAAAUAAACCGUGGGAUACGUUCGUUUAUAAAUAUUAAAGCGUAAGAUUGUUUAUUGAAAUGAAGUGAAAAAAACUUAAAAUGGAAUAAAAAAAAUCGUAACUAAAGGGUCAAGUAUAACUAAAGGGUUGUUCAAGUAGAUAAGUAGUUGAAGUCAUCGUUGUAGGUUUUUGGUACAUGUAUUACUUACGAGUAAUCGAAUAUAAAAUAUAUACUUGGUCAUACUAAAUAUACUAAAUACUAAAUAGAUACUUGGUCAUUUUCUAACGUAAAAGUAUUUAUUUUUUAUGUUCACAUUUUCACGCUAUCUUUAUUUCUUUAUCUGACACCGAAAUAAUUUUUCAAAUCGAACCAGUAGUUCCUGAGAUUACCGCGUUCAUACAAACAAACUCUUCAGCUUUAUAAUAGCAGCUGACGCCACACGGUUUCACCCGCGUGGUUUCCAUUCCCGUAGGAAUACGGGGAUAAUAUAUAGCCUUCCUCCAUAAAUGGGCUAUCUGACGAAAGAAUUUUAAAAAUCGGACCAGUAGUCCCUGAGAUUAUCGCGUUCAAACAAACAAACUCGUCAGCUUUAUAAUAUUAAAAUAGUAUAGAUUCUACAAAAACAUAAAUCUCUAACCAGAUAUUCUACUUAUACAGAUAAUACACUUAUUGUUUAAUCCAAAUAGUCAUAGAGGCGUAUUAUAAAAAUAAAAACUAAUUUUUAAAAGGCCAUUAAGUCACUAAAAGCUAUUUCCUUCUUCCUUCCAUAUUUUCUUUUGUUUUAAUUGUUAAUUACUACGGGUAGAACAGAUACUUAUCUUAUAUAUUAGUAAUAUUGAUAUGGUAAUUUUUCAAUUAAUUAAAAAAACAAUUUAGAUAGGCUCAAUUUAGUUUGAAUUCCCAAACCUCAAUGUUCGUAUCAACUGAUAAACAACUCAACAAAAUUGAAAGAUAAAAAUACUUACGCGUAUGUUAGCUCCGAAGGAAAAAAAACAAAACUCCGCGACCGGUUCCUAAUUACUACCAUAACUCCGAUUCGUGUUCUCGAGACAUUUUAGCAAAAAAGAGUCCACUAAUCGCACUAAAAGGAACAGUUUUCAAACGGUAUGAACAACGUUCGCCAACCCGCCUCAGAGUGGCGUGGUGGGUAUAAUUAUUUUUGUUUUAAAACAUUGUAUGUAUUUUAUUUACAUAGUUGUUUUUAAUCUACUGUCAGCUACGUCUGCGACUUCGUUCGAAUUUUAAAGACUUUCGUACAUAGUUUUUCCACCUGUUUAUUCCUCCCCUUUAAAGCCUUUGUAAUGCUAGCCACUCGCCAUCCAAUAAGUUCAUGUGCCGGCAGCGCUAACGACAGGUUAAGGUAAGUAAUGUCAAGUAAAAAUGUAUUAUUUUAAUUAGGAGCUCUUUUGAAACAUCAGGUGAUCGGUCGAAAAGUUACGUAACUCUUUUUGGCAUCUAUGAAGUGCAGGCAUUGAUCACUCAGGAGUCUGACUAGUCAUAUACAAAAACCAUACGUAUAUACAUAAUAUAUUCCUAUAUACAAUUUUUACAAUCCGACUAGUUCUAGUUUCAGAGAUUACCCCAUUCAAACAAAGAAACAUUCGAAUUUUCCGCUUAAAAUAUUGACAUAUACAGAUUUUACCGCAUUGUGUAAGCCAGUUUUAAACAAUAGCUGAUAAUUCUUAUACCAAAACAAAACAAAGAGAAAUCAGGUUUGGUUUUUUUCAAGCUUCUUCAAAAUGCUUUAGGAAACGGCCGAGGCGCAUGAUAAGACAGAUAAAAUAGGUAUUAAGUCCACGAAACACCUCGAUAGGGCCCGCUAAUUACGUUUUUAAUUAUUCCAAAAUUGCCUCCCCUAUUAGUUUAUCUUGCGGACGCCAUUCCGAGCUAUUAGCUGCAUAUUUGUGAUAAAACAGCAAUUAGGAAAAUUCCAAAGUUUUCGGUCGAUAACGUACUUCUUUGUUAGGUUUAAUUAAACAGCACGUUAUGCUAGCCACACACCAUCCAAUAAACCCACAUGCCUACAGUGCUAACGGCUUGAUAUCUACAAAAACUGAUCGUCUGUUAGUCGCGAUCUGCAUGUGUCAUACACAUAUAUAUUUUUUUCAUUAAAUAUUAUUUCCAAGGACUAACCCUCAUCGGAAAGCUCAAUUAAAUUUUCAUGUUUUUAUGGAUAACUAGCAAAUGACCCGGGGUUUCACUCGCGCAGUGCGCGUUCCUGUGGGAAAGCUGGGAUAUUUUUUAAUUUAGAAAUAGGGGGAAUUUAGCCAACGAAACUAACAAAAAACGUGGCUUUCUAUUGGUAAAAGAAUAGUCAAAAUUGGUUCGGUAGAUAGAGUUAAGAUAGAUGGGGUGAUAACCCCUACAACCUCACAAAAUAUACCUCCUUUUACCUAAUAUUAUACUAAUAGCAUUAACAACUGAGUCUUAGGGCCAUAAAUCAUUUCUCUAUAUCUAUCUCGCUUGCACUUAUGGGUCUUAUGGAGCCGUCUAGUGAAGGGUGUAACAAUGAAAGACAUAUUAUCGAUAAGUAAAGUUUAUUAUCGUAUCUUGUUCACAAAAUUAAAAAAAUUAACAAUAUUUGAUUUAAUAUAAUACAUAUUUCAUAUUAUAUAAUUAUUAACUAAAUAAAAUUAAUCUUCAUCUGAGUCUUCAUCAUCAGAAUCUUCGUCUUCUGCCAAAUUUAUUAUAUAUUAGUAUCCAUAGUGCGCAACGAGUAACACAUGAAUGUAUUUAUUUAAUUGCAGUAAACACAUUUAUAGCAAAAAAAAUACGCAAUGCAAUUACAUUAGAAACCGACCAAUCAGAAUCGUCCAAAUCAUUAUUGACUCAUCAUUAGCACGUGCGCAGGUAGCCGUUUAUCGAUAAUUAGGGUGCGCAGGUAGGCGCGCUGCACAUUCCUAUCUUUUUUGACUUUUAUGACCGGACGACUCAGAUGAUAAUGCGCAUACUAUAGUAUAGAUAUGCCUACAUAUACGGUGUGGUUUUCAAGAUUUACUUAAAUGAUGUACCUACACUUGAGAAGCUACAAACGUUGAUGUAUAUUUUUUUAAAGAUUUUUUUUUAAUUUUAAA